RNAcentral lists this ribosomal RNA (274 nucleotides) under uncultured bacterium. RNAcentral's name for it is "partial 16S ribosomal RNA". It matches the Rfam family "Bacterial small subunit ribosomal RNA", at positions 523 to 796 of the family's 1533-position model. The record is from RNAcentral.
AUACGAAGGGGGAAAGCGUUGUUCGGAAUUACUGGGCGUAAAGCGUACGUAGGCGGUUGGUUAAGUUAGAUGUGAAAGCCCCGGGCUUAACCUGGGAACUGCAUUUAAAACUGGCGAACUAGAGUUGAGUAGAGGGGAGUGGAAUUUCAGGUGUAGCGGUGAAAUGCGUAGAGAUCUGAAGGAACACCAGUGGCGAAGGCGACUCCCUGGACUCGAACUGACGCUGAGGUACGAAAGCGUGGGUAGCAAACGGGAUUAGAAACCCUGGUAGUCC